UACGGGGGGAGCAAGCGUUGUUCGGAUUUACUGGGCGUAAAGGGCGCGUAGGCGGCCACCGCAAGUCGACUGUGAAAUCUCCGGGCUUAACCCGGAAAGGUCAGCCGAUACUGCGGGGCUAGAGUGCAGAAGGGGCAACUGGAAUUCUCGGUGUAGCGGUGAAAUGCGUAGAUAUGCGGAGGAACACCGAUGGCGAAGGCAAUCCCCUGGGCCUGCACUGACGCUCAUGCACGAAAGCGUGGGGAGCAAACAGG
This 254-nucleotide ribosomal RNA is filed under the name uncultured bacterium. RNAcentral's name for it is "partial 16S ribosomal RNA". It matches the Rfam family "Bacterial small subunit ribosomal RNA", at positions 524 to 776 of the family's 1533-position model. The record is from RNAcentral.